GAUGAACGCUGGCGGCGUGCCUAAUACAUGCAAGUCGAGCGAACAGACGAGGAGCUUGCUCCUCUGACGUUAGCGGCGGACGGGUGAGUAACACGUGGAUAACCCACCUAUAAGACUGGGAUAACUUCGGGAAACCGGAGCUAAUACCGGAUAAUAUAUUGAACCGCAUGGUUCAAUAGUGAAAGACGGUUUUGCUGUCACUUAUAGAUGGAUCCGCGCCGCAUUAGCUAGUUGGUAAGGUAACGGCUUACCAAGGCAACGAUGCGUAGCCGACCUGAGAGGGGGAUCGGCCACACUGGAACUGAGACACGGUCCAGGCUCCUACGGGAGGCAGCAGUAGGGAAUCUUCCGCAAUGGGCGAAAGCCUGACGGAACAACGCCGCGUGAGUGAUGGAGGUCUUCGGAUCGUAAAACUCUGUUAUUAGGGAAGAACAAAUGUGUAAGUAACUAUGCACGUCUUGACGGUACCUAAUCAGAAAGCCACGGCUAACUACGUG
This 497-nucleotide ribosomal RNA is filed under the name uncultured bacterium. RNAcentral describes it as "partial 16S ribosomal RNA". It matches the Rfam family "Bacterial small subunit ribosomal RNA", at positions 28 to 507 of the family's 1533-position model. The record is from RNAcentral.